GCUCCAGUGGCCUACUGGUUGUAGCGUCCGCCUCGGGUGCGGGAGGUCGUGGGUUCUAUCCCCGGUCGAGGCA
Potamilus streckersoni is the source of this 73-nucleotide non-coding RNA. The record is from the annotation of a GenBank genome assembly. NCBI's taxonomy places the organism in Eukaryota, Metazoa, Mollusca, Bivalvia, Unionida, Unionidae.